This 265-nucleotide ribosomal RNA is filed under the name uncultured bacterium. RNAcentral describes it as "partial 16S ribosomal RNA". It matches the Rfam family "Bacterial small subunit ribosomal RNA", at positions 524 to 788 of the family's 1533-position model. The record is from RNAcentral.
GACAGAGGGUGCAAACGUUGUUCGGAAUUACUGGCGUAAAGCGCGUGUAGGCGGUCUCGCAAGUCGGAUGUGAAAGCCCAGGGCUCAACCCUGGAAGUGCACUCGAUACUGCGAGGCUAGAGUCCCGGAGAGGAUGGUGGAACUCUCGGUGUAGAGGUGAAAUUCGUAGAUAUCGAGAAGAACACCGGUGGCGAAGGCGGCCAUCUGGACGGUGACUGACGGCUGAGACGCGAAAGCGUGGGGAGCAAACAGGAUUAGAAACCCU